This 403-nucleotide ribosomal RNA is filed under the name uncultured bacterium. RNAcentral's name for it is "bacterial SSU rRNA". It matches the Rfam family "Bacterial small subunit ribosomal RNA", at positions 355 to 774 of the family's 1533-position model. The record is from RNAcentral.
UAGGGAAUAUUGCAAAAUGGGCGAAAGCCCGAUGCAGCAACGCCGCGUGGGCGAUGAAGGCCUUCGGGUCGUAAAGCCCUUUUUGAGGGGAUGAGGAAGGACAGUACCCUCAGAAUAAGCCUCGGCUAACUACGUGCCAGCAGCCGCGGUAAAACGUAGGAGGCGAGCGUUAUCCGGAUUUACUGGGCGUAAAGCGCGUGCAGGCGGAUUGGAGAGUUGGAUGUGAAAGCUCCCGGCUUAACUGGGAGAGGUCGUUCAAUACUUCCAGUAUUGAGUGCAGCAGAGGGAAGUGGAAUUCCGGGUGUAGUGGUGAAAUGCGUAGAUAUCCGGAGGAACACCAGUGGCGAAAGCGGCUUCCUGGACUGUAACUGACGCUCAGACGCGAAAGCUAGGGUAGCAAACG